GCUUUAUAUCAUCCUUUUCAGAGUACAUUACCAAAGUAGUUUAUAUAAUAUCUUACCAGAUAUUGUCAGUAGUGAUAUAAAAAUAUGAACAUCUUUUAAAUAUAAUCAUUUUAGUUAAACAGUUUUGAUUUAAUGAGAGCAUCAGAGUAUUAAUGUAACAUAGUGAUUGAUUAUUAAAAGUAUUUGUUGAAAUAUAGUACCUAUCUGGUUAAUGUUAUUAUCAAUAUCACUGCAUUAAAAAAAAAAAUUGUAACCUCCUGUCAUUCUCCCCUGAUGUUAGCCAAGAAUUAAUUUCUUACUGUUCUCUAAAGAGACUUUUAUUUAAUAAAGCCAUGAAUAAUU
This 342-nucleotide long non-coding RNA is filed under the name Bos taurus (domestic cattle). RNAcentral's name for it is "long non-coding RNA NONBTAT021501". Lineage: Eukaryota; Metazoa; Chordata; Mammalia; Artiodactyla; Bovidae. The record is from RNAcentral.